Molecule: ribosomal RNA, 497 nt
Filed under: uncultured bacterium
Lineage: Bacteria
Description: partial 16S ribosomal RNA
Rfam family: Bacterial small subunit ribosomal RNA
Source: RNAcentral
GAUGAACGCUGGCGGCGUGCCUAAUACAUGCAAGUCGAGCGAACAGACGAGGAGCUUGCUCCUCUGACGUUAGCGGCGGACGGGUGAGUAACACGUGGAUAACCUACCUAUAAGACUGGGAUAACUUCGGGAAACCGGAGCUAAUACCGGAUAAUAUAUUGAACCGCAUGGUUCAAUAGUGAAAGACGGUUUUGCUGUCACUUAUAGAUGGAUCCGCGCCGCAUUAGCUAGUUGGUAAGGUAACGGCUUACCAAGGCGACGAUGCGUAGCCGACCUGAGAGGGGGAUCGGCGACACUGGAACUGAGACACGGUCCAGACGCCUACGGGAGGCAGCAGUAGGGAAUCUUCCGCAAUGGGCGAAAGCCUGACGGAGCAACGCCGCGCGAGUGAUGGAGGUCUUCGGAUCGUAAAACUCUGUUAUUAGUGAAGAACAAAUGUGUAAGUAACUAUGCACGUCUUGACGGUACCUAAUCAGAAAGCCACGGCUAACUACGUG